RNAcentral lists this ribosomal RNA (329 nucleotides) under uncultured eukaryote. Its description in RNAcentral is "partial 18S ribosomal RNA". It matches the Rfam family "Eukaryotic small subunit ribosomal RNA", at positions 1470 to 1796 of the family's 1831-position model. The record is from RNAcentral.
CCCUUAGAUGUUCUGGGCCGCACGCGCGCUACACUGAUGCAGUCAACGAGUUUACAACCUUGGCUGAAAGGCCUGGGUAAUCUUUUAAAACUGCAUCGUGCUGGGGAUAGAUGAUUGCAAUUAUUCAUCUUCAACGAGGAAUUCCUAGUAAACGCAAGUCAUCAGCUUGCAUUGAUUACGUCCCUGCCCUUUGUACACACCGCCCGUCGCACCUACCGAUUGAAUGGUCCGGUGAAAUCUUCGGACCGUGGCAAUGUCGCCGUUCGCGGGGACGCUGCCGUGGGAAGUUGCUUAAAUCUUACCAUUUAGAGGAAGGUGAAGUCGUAACA